RNAcentral lists this ribosomal RNA (477 nucleotides) under uncultured Planctomycetales bacterium. RNAcentral describes it as "bacterial SSU rRNA". It matches the Rfam family "Bacterial small subunit ribosomal RNA", at positions 365 to 832 of the family's 1533-position model. The record is from RNAcentral. Lineage: Bacteria; Pseudomonadati; Planctomycetota; Planctomycetia; Planctomycetales.
UUCGCAAUGCCCGAAAGGGUGACGAAGCGACGCCGCGUGCGGGAAGAAGGCCUUCGGGUUGUAAACCGCUGUCGGGAGUUAAGAAAUGUAAGGAUGUUAAUAGCAUCUUUGCUUGACUAAGGCUCCGGAGGAAGCCACGGCUAACUCUGUGCCAGCAGCCGCGGUAAUACAGAGGCGGCAAGCGUUGUUCGGAAUUAUUGGGCGUAAAGAGCACGUAGGCGGCUAUGUAAGUCGGUUGUGAAAGCCUUCCGCUCAACGGGAGAACAGCAUCCGAUACUGCAUGGCUUGAGUGCGGGAGGGGAGAGUGGAACUUCUGGUGGAGCGGUGAAAUGCGUAGAUAUCAGAAGGAACGCCGGCGGCGAAAGCGGCUCUCUGGCCCAUAACUGACGCUGAGUGUGCGAAAGCUAGGGGAGCAAACGGGAUUAGAUACCCCGGUAGUCCUCGCCGUAAACGAUGGGCACUAAGUAGAGGGGUUUU